UGGGGAAUUUUGGACAAUGGGCGCAAGCCUGAUCCAGCAAUGCAGCGUGCAGGAUGAAGGCCUUCGGGUUGUAAACUGCUUUUGUACGGAGCGAAAAGGUCUGCCUUAAUACGGUGGGCCCAUGACGGUACCGUAAGAAUAAGCACCGGCUAACUACGUGCCAGCAGCCGCGGUAAUACGUAGGGUGCGAGCGUUAAUCGGAAUUACUUGGCGUAAAGCGUGCGCAGGCGGUUAUAUAAGACAGAUGUGAAAUCCCCGGGCUCAACCUGGGACCUGCAUUUAUAACUGUAUAGCUAGAGUACAGUAGAGUGAGAUAGAAUUCCGCGUGUAGCAGUGAAAUGCGUAGAUAUGCGGAGGAACACCGAUGGCGAAGGAAAUCCCCUGGACAUGUACUGUCGCUCAUGCACGAAAACGUGGGGAGCAAACA
Molecule: ribosomal RNA, 427 nt
Filed under: uncultured bacterium
Lineage: Bacteria
Description: bacterial SSU rRNA
Rfam family: Bacterial small subunit ribosomal RNA
Source: RNAcentral